This 222-nucleotide long non-coding RNA is filed under the name Populus trichocarpa (black cottonwood). RNAcentral describes it as "long non-coding RNA (PTRI_LNC001054)". Lineage: Eukaryota; Viridiplantae; Streptophyta; Magnoliopsida; Malpighiales; Salicaceae. The record is from RNAcentral.
CAUGAUUUAGGGUUCUCGGCAUUCUUUGGAUUUUGGUGCAGUAUCCUUGAAACCCUGAUCAUCUCUCUCUUUUAUUUAUUUAUUUUCACUGUACAAGCUAGCUACCACAUCUUCUUGUUCUUGAUGGAUCAUUGACUCGAUGUAGUUACUUACAAAAUGGCGAGACUUCUCAUCCACCAGUGACAAGUGAAUUUCUUCGUCGUUUUAUGAUCCUGUUUCCAU